This 359-nucleotide long non-coding RNA is filed under the name Capsicum annuum. RNAcentral describes it as "long non-coding RNA (CANN_LNC016890)". Lineage: Eukaryota; Viridiplantae; Streptophyta; Magnoliopsida; Solanales; Solanaceae. The record is from RNAcentral.
AUUACAACAACAACAACAACAAACCCAGUGUAUUCCCACUUUGUGGGGUCUGGGGGGGGUAAGAUGUACGCAGUCCAUACCUCUACCUCUGAUGAAGUAGAAAGGCUGUUUCCGAAAGACCCCCGGCUCAAGUUACGAGAUAUCAAACAAACACAUAGUACAGCACAGAAGCAGAUGACAUAACAUAGAUACUGCAGCCAUAAGGAAUAUAAAACAGAGUAAAGCAGGGAUGCAGGAAUAUAAAGCAGAGGAAAGCACACAGAUUCGUAACAAACAUAGAACACGGAACACGGAACAGAACAUUGAAUACGGAAUCAUACCAGGAAUACACCCCCACCAAUUACCUCCCUACAUUAGCG